This 8309-nucleotide long non-coding RNA is filed under the name Nicotiana tabacum (common tobacco). RNAcentral describes it as "long non-coding RNA (NTAB_LNC002334)". The record is from RNAcentral. Lineage: Eukaryota; Viridiplantae; Streptophyta; Magnoliopsida; Solanales; Solanaceae.
AGAAUUAAGCCAUUAAACAUAAUAAAACCCCAAAAAUACGGUGAAUAAUACAAUUUGCGGAAUACAAAAACAGCACAACCCGAUACUGGGGUGUCACUAGUCAUGAACAUCUAAAAAUACGGAAUAAGACAAGAAAGUCUACAGAGUUCAAUACAAAUCUAAAACAAAGAGAAGUAAGAUAAGGGAAAAAGCUCUAGUUGCUAACACCGGCAGCUACCUAGAGAAUCUUCGGAUCCACCUGAACUGGAAAGAUCAACACUCGGUAGUGGGACCAGAUGCGCCUGAAUCUGCACACAGGAUGCAGAGAGUAAAAUGAGUACUCCAACUCAAUGAGUAAUAAUCAUAAAUAAAGACUGAAAGCAAGAAAUCACGUAAAGCACAUUAUAGGGUAUACGGAAGCAGUAAAAGCCAGUAAAAGUAGUGAUAAUGUGUAAAGUCAUUUCGAUUCAGUUCAAAUUUCAUGAAACAUCUUUUUAACAAUUAAGCAGGUAAAUGACAGACAAAUAAAAUAGAUAAGCACAUAAAUGAUUGCCCCUCAGGCACAAUGUCAACAAUACUAGCCCCUCGGGCUAUAUCUCACAUCACAAUGGGUACCCGCGCUCACUGGGAGUGUGCAGAUGAGGAAGGGCCCCUUUCAGCCCAAGCGCAAUAUCAAGUCAUCUCGUGGCAUCAUCACUAGGCCCUCGGCCUCAUAUCAACAAGCCACCUCGUGGCAUACAUAUCUCAGGCCCUCGGCCUCAUAAUCAUAAUCAGUGUUUCCUCACAAGUAGACACUCGGCCUUACUCAGUCAAAAUCCUCACAAGCUACUCGGGCAAUAGCAAAACAUGAUUCUCAACUCAAAAUAUCAUUUAAAAGAUCAUUUAAGUGUUAAAACAAAGUAAACAUGGCUGAGUUAUGAAAAUAGUGGAAUAUAGCAUGACUGAGUUCAAGUAUAAAGUUAAAACAAUGAGGAAAUAUCAAUAAGAAUCCCCUAAGGGUACAAAUAGUUGGCACGAAGCCCAAAUAUGGCAUUCAGCCCAAACAAGAUGAUAGCAAAUAGAUUUCAGUCAAAUACACGGUAAAAUAGUCAUCCGGGAUGGACUAAGUCACAAUCCCCAACAGUGCACGACCCCACGCUCGUCAUCUAGCGUGUGCGUCACCUUAAUAUAGCACAAUGAUAUGCAAUGCGGGGUUUCAUACCCUCAGAACAUCAUUUACAAUCAUUACUCACCUCAAUCCGGUGCAACCCUAGACCGCGACACCUUUGCCCCUCGAAUCGGCCUCCACUCGCAUCGAAUUUAUCCAAAAUCAGAAUCACGACGUCAAAAUAUGCUAAGGGAACGAAGACCAAGCGAAAAUAAUCAAUUUAUAGCAUAAUCCCAAAAUUACCAAAACCCGAUCCCCAAGCCCACAUCUCGGAAUUCAAUAAAAUUCACAUCAAUAGAUUCCUCAUCUCUCCACGAGUUCACACAUAUAAAAAGUACCAAAAUUCGACCACAAAUGGUCGCUCAAAUCCUCAAGUCCAGGUCUCCAAUACCAAACCCUAGUUUUCACCAAUUUUAACCCUUAAAUUCCAUUAGUUAUAACUCUAUUACGUGAAAUAAUACCAUAAGAACGAGUUUUAGGUCCAAAAUCCUUACCCUAAUGAAGUUCCCUUGAAAUCCUUCUUCAAAAUCGUCCAAAAAGCUCCCAAGCCGACUUAGAAAUGGUGGAAUGACUCAAAAAUUGCGAAGGAAACAAUUUAUAUGUUCUGGCCCAGGGAUUUCACAUCUGUGGCCCAAUUCCCGCUUCCACGGUACCGCAUUUGUGGCCAAUGAACCGCUUCUAUUGUUUUCACUAAAGCGACCAACAUCGCAUCUAUGAUGCUCACCCCGCACCUGCGGCCUCGCAUGUGCGGUUACCCAACCGCUUCUGCGAUCACAGCCUACCUCACCUUCUUCCUCUUCUGCGGUCUUCUCCCUAGCAUCUGCGACAUCGCACCUGCGGUCCCCAAUCCGCAGGAGCGGAAAUACCAGAAGCAGAAAAUCUACAACUUCAUCAAAAUCUCAAACUCUCCGUCAACCAUCCGAAAUCACCCCGAGGCUCCCGGGACCUCAACCAAUAACACCAACAUAUCCCAAAACUUUAUUCAAACUUAUACCAAUCUUCAAAACACCUCAAACAACAUCGGAUCAACCAAAACUCAACGGAUUCAAGCCUAAGUUUCCAAAAUCUUCUGAAUUCCGCUUUUGAUCAAAAACCCAACCAAACCACGUCCGAAUGACCUGAAAUUUUGCGCACACAUCUCAAAUGACCCAAUAGAACUACUGCAACUAUCGGAAUUCCAUUCUGACCCCUAUAUCAAAAUCUCACUCAUCAACCGGAAAUCGCCAAAAUACCAACUUCGCCAAUUCAAGCCUAAAUCUACUCCGGACCUCAAAAAUACAUUACGAUCACGCUCCUAUGUCCCAAAUCACCUUCCAAAGCUAUCUGAACCAUCAGAAUUCACAUCCGAGCCCUCUAACACAUAAGUCAACAUCCGAUUGACUUUUCCAACUUAAGUUUCCUCAAAAGAGACUAAGUGUCUCAAACCUUACCAAAUUAUUUCCGAACCCGAGCCAACCAACCUGAUCACAUAUAGAACUGAUACACAAAGCAAUAAGAAGCAGAAAUGGGAAAACAGAGUGGUAACUCAUGAGACGACUGGCCGGGUUGUCACAAAAAUGAAGGAGCAAAGAGGAGAUGUGAGUUUAAUUUUUAACAAAUAAUUUUAGAAAAGAAAAUAGUGUUAAUAAAAAUGAAUACUACUAAGCUUCAUUUAAAUAUUGACUAACUUCUUCGAACACAUUUUUUACAUAUUUGUCUACAUACAUGCAUUUAUAUUUUGUUUAGCAUAAAAGCAAUAUUCGUGGUCAAAGCAAUUAAACAAAUAUUUUAUGUUACUAAUAAUCGAUUUAACUCACUUUACAAGUAUGAACGAUAAGAAAAAAGAAUAAAUAUAAAAAAGGAACGAAUUGAGAGAUGGACAGUAAUAAAAAUCUUAUUGAUGAAUCUAGCUUUUCUUCUCGUGACGACCCGAUAGGUUAUUUUAAGUACUAGCCUUUAUUUUUGUGUUUCGAGAUCUCCCAUAGAUUCAUUUGAUAUUUUUUGAAUUGCGUGCAUGAUCCAUGUCACUUUUCGAAAAGCUUUAACGUAAAAUUUUGAAGAACAUAAUAUUUUUGACUUAAAAUAAAGCUAAAGUUGACCACGAUCAAUAUUUUUGAUAAACAACCUCGGAUCAGUGUUUUGACAAUUCCAGUAGAUUCGUAUGAUAUUUUUGGACUUGUAUACAUGUUUGGUUGGGGUCCGAGGUGACCCGAGUGCAUUUCGGCGCAUCAUGUGAAAGAUUGUGAAAAUUGAGUUUUCGAGUUGAAAUCUUGAGUUUUGAGGAUCAAUUCUUAUUAUUUGGUGUUAUUUUGAUGAUUUGAGGUAGCGAGCAAGUUUGUAUAAUAUUAUUACACUUGUGUUCAUGCUCAGUUUGGAGCUCAAGGGUUUCAUGUGAGUAUCAGAUGAGUUUGGAUGGUUUUAGAACUGUUGGUGCUCAGCAGUUGCUGGUGCAAGCCUGUAGCUCUCACAUUUGCGAGCUUCACUUUUGCGGUCAUGUGAUCGCAUUUGCGAAAGGCACUAGGAUUGGGAAAUUUUGCAUCUGCAAAAAAGGGAUCGCGUUUGCAAAAACUGGGAAAUCGCAAAUGCGAUUGGAGUCUAGCAUUUGCGACUCUGACUACUUUGGGGUAGCUUUGCAAAUCGACAACCUUCAACGAAACUCAUUUUCUUUGAUUCGUUUACCCUUUAUCCUUCAUGGCACUUACUUAUCGCUCGUUAUAAAUAGCAUAAAUGCGUAUAAUGUCAAGAUAAUCUCAUCCCGGAGUCUACGUCGAACUGAAGACGAAACUUUAACGUACGAAAACGCGAGAUGUAACAAGUGCACCUCCUAUUUAGAGUUAUCAGGGUGGUUAUUCAGGUCGAUAUGGUCAGUUCCAAGGCCAGCAGUCACAUCACCCGAGGACUUGUUAUACUUGUAGAGAUCCUAGACACGUCGCGUGGUUUUUCCCUAGGCCACAGAGCAAACUGCCACAACAAGAUACUCGUGCCAUGGUUCCGGCAUCGGUUGAUCCACCGCCCGUUCAGCCAGCCAGAGGCAGGGUUCAGGCAGCCCGAGGUAGUGGUCAAGCUAUUAGAGGUGGAUGCCAGUUAGCAAGAGGCCGUCCGAGAGAUGUAGAUUAGACUGGUGGGGCUCAGCUCCAUUUUUAUGCAUUUCCAGCUAAACCCGAGGUAGAGUCGUCUAAUGCGAUCAUCACUCAUAUUAUUCUGAUUUGCCAUAGAGAUGCCUCAGUUUUAUUUGAUCCGGGUUCCACUUAUUCGUAUGUGUCAUCCUAUUUUGAUUCAUAUCCAGAUGUGUCUCGUGAUUCCUUGAGUGUUCCUAUUUAUGUGUCUAUGCCUAUGGGAGAUUCUAUUGAGGUAGAUCAUGUUUAUCGCUUGUGUGUGGUCUUUAUCGGGGGUUAUGAAGCUAGGGUAGAUCUUUUUUUACUUAGUACGGUUGACUUUGAUGUUAUUUUGGGCAUGGACUGGUUUUCACAAUAUCACGCUAUUAUGGAUUCACGCUAAGACCGUGACACUGGCAAUGCCGGGAUUGCUGAGAUUGGAGUGGAUAGGUUCAUUGGGUUAUGUUUCUAGCAGGGUGAUAUCUUAUCUGAAGGCACAACAGAUGGUUAAGAAGGGGCGUUUGGCAUACUUAGCCUAUGUGGGGGAUGUUAGUAUCGAUACUCCUACCAUUGAGUCACUUUUGGUAGUGAGAGACUUUCCAUAUGUGUUUCUAGUAGACCUACUGGGCAUGCCACCCUAUAGGGACAUUGAUUUUAGUAUUGACUUGGCGCUGGGCACUCAGCCUAUCUAUAUUCUGCCAUAUCUCAUUGAAUCAAUGGAGUUGAAAGAAUUAAAGGAACAACUUCAAGAGUUGUUUGAUAAGGGUUUUAUCAGACCGAGUUUUUCGCCUUAGGGUGCUCCAAUCCUAUUUGUAAAGAAGAAAGGUGAAUCCAUGAGGAUGUGUAAUGAAUACAAGCACCUGAACAAGGCUACAGUCAAGAACAAACACCCACUACUCCUAUCAUCAGUUGAAGAUUCGAGCUUCGGACAUUCCGAAGAUGGCUUUCAGGACUAGCUGUUGUAACUAUGAGUUUCUGGUGAUGUCUUUUGGGCUGACCAAUGCCCUAACAGCUUUCAUACACUGAACAACGUGUUCCAACCAUACCUUGAUUUCUUCGUUAUCGUGUUCAUUGAUGACAUUUUGGCAUACUAUCGUGGCCGGGAGGAUCAUGAGCAGCACUUGAGGAACGUGCUCCACACUUUGAGGGAGAGGAAGCAAUAUGCUAAAUUCUCCAAGUGCAAGUUUUGGCUUGAUUCAGUGGCAUUCUUGGGCCACUUGGUAUUUAGUGAGGGAAUUAAGGUGUAUCUAAAGAAGAUUGAGGCAGUUCAUAUUUGGCCUAGAUCUACAUCAGCUAUAGAGAUUCGGAGCUUUUUGGGUUUGGUAGGUAACUAUGAGUUUAUGGAGGUUUUUCAUCCAUCGCAGCUCCUUUGUUUUUCCUCUUUGAAGAUGACACACUUAAAAUCUAUUCAUGGGCAGCGCUAAUGGUGAGUCUAGCUAUAGGAACAUACGCGGGACGAAUGCCACGAACAACUUCUUCUUCUUCGUCGUCGUCAGAGGCGCAGGUUUCUUUGUUUUUCCUCUUUGAAGAUGACACACUUAAAAUCUAUUCAUGGGCAGCGCUAAUGGUGAGUCUAGCUAUAGGAACAUACACGGGACGAAUGCCACGAACAACAAAUCCUGAGAAUAAUAGAAGGGGUCAGAAUAAGAGAAGCCAUAAAAACGAAAAUUCAUGGUAAAGUAAAAUAGAAUAUCGUAGGUUUUCACUUUCCAUCCAAACUUUUAAGAAACAAAAUUUUCAAGAUCUUUGAUCCAAAGGGGCGACAAACAACAUUUUUUCUACCCAAUCACGAAAGUCGGAAAGUUCACCAAAAACUUCCAUGGUUACUGAAAAGUAAGAAAAAAUGAAUGAGAAAAUCGAAAUUCUAAAAAAAUAAUGGCAAAGAAAAAUACUCAUGUGCAAAGUUCCACUUAUCAGCAAAAGGCAUGCUUUUAUCACCCAUUAAAUCAUGAGUGGGAACAACCAUGAACUGAGAGUACCAGCCACGUUCACGAUCAUUUUCGGGACUUGUCAUACCUCCUUUUUUCCGAGGGAUCGGGAGUUUUUUCGAUUAAAGUGAUAUUAAUCAAAGUGAGAGUAUUUAUUUAAUUUCAGAGUCGCCACUUGAAAUAAUUUAUGGUGUCCCAAGUCACCGAUUUAUUUUAAAUCCCAAAUCGAGGAAAUUUGACUCUCUUUAAGAGUCUGCAAAAACCAGAAGACCGGGUAAAGAAUUCUGUUAACCCGAGAGAAGGUGUUAGAAAUUUUCGGAUUCCGUGGUUUUAGCACGGUCUCUCAACUAUUAAUAAUUGGCCUAAUUAUGUGAUUUAUUACAUGUUUGAAACCUAUUGUGCCUUUUUUACCUUUCUAACCGCUUUUAGUUUUUCAAACGCUUUUUAGGAUUUAUGGAAUUUGUUUGAACAAGUCGUGAUGUCGCACACUCGUUUAUUUUUUGUACACAUUGCAAAUUGCGUCACGCGAGCCGCACCCACGAUCUACAACAUGUUUAUUUUUAUUAUUGUUUGAAGUUAUGGCCUCAUCACAUGAAACGCACACUCGUAUUGGGAAUUACGUAUCAUGACUAUGCCAUGAGAAUCGUACAUGUAGUCGCGAUGAUUUAUUAUUAAUCGCGCCUAAAGCAACUAGCGAAUUUGAAUUAUUUUCCUAAUCUUUGAGAUUAUUGUGAAGGCCAUAGGUUAUGAAAAUUAUUGUGGGAGGAAUAAAAUAAAUUAGUUAUAGACAAGUGUAUUAGCUUGUGAUCUUAUUGAUAUUUUGGAUCAGUUUCUAUCUAAACCCAUAUAUACUUAAAAAGGGUCAAUUUCUACAUGAUCAAACAGAAUCUUCAAUAUUUCCAAACCAAUUAAUUGUGAAAUGCAACAAAGGUUUAAACUGACAAUUUUAUUACGGCAAAAUGAAACAAAAUAAAGUAAAGUUCAAAGAUACAGAGAUAAACUAAAACAAAAUAUCAUGCUCGGUCUGAUAUUUAUGAAAAGAUACCAUAAAAUGGAGGAGCUUUUUUUACUUGUUUUUCAACUUUUCCUCAUAUUGCCGUGCAGCUAAUUAUCAGUAAUCAUUGCUAUGGCACUAGAUGCACUUAUUCUCUAUAUGAUAAUAGCAAUAUGAUUAUUACAUGAAAUUGUCUGGGAAAGAAAAAUGAGAAAGUGGGGUUGUUGUGAAUGGCAAGUUAAUUUGCUCCUGUUCUGCUUUUCUCUUUAAGGAAUUUAUUUCCAUGCCUAAUAGUUUCUGCUGUGUCAAAAACGUGAACCUUUACAUUGAAAGCAUUCUCGUUCAGUACUAACAAAUUAACGAAAAUAAAAGUAUCAAAAAUUAACAUGGCCAACAGGGAUUUGAUUAAUUACAGAAGAGGAAUUUCAAUUACAGACCCACCAACACAUGAAUCCAUCCAAUUACAUGAAUAAUUAUUCAUUUAUAGUGGCUAAACAUAUAAACAUAAGAAAAUUUCCAAUUACAUGGCCGUGGAUUCCAUUAGGUAAAACGUUAAUAAAAAACGACGGAAGAAAAGCACAUAUUAAACAACAAAAUCAUCUAUUAUGUGACAUACUAACAUAGUUUCAUUCAUAAAAAUUACAACGAAUUAUGUAUGGACUUAGAUCAUACCUAGAUUACCGAAUAAACAGCAAGGAGAGACCAAAUGUGGAACUCAUCAAGCAAUCCCAGCCGAGAAAUAACAGAAUUUCUAGUCGUGCGAAAACAAACAGUGAAACCGAAUAAAGGCUGAGAAGGAAACAAAUGAAGCUGAGCGAAGCAGUAAUCAGCAGCAACGAACUUAACCUUCAGCAGCUUUUAAACCCAGAAAAUCAUUACCCAAAGCUUGUUUUCAGAUCUCUUUUUGAGUUUUUGAAUUUUUGAAAGUUUUCGUUUCUAGCUCUAAGCUGAGUGCUUCUCGUGUGUGAGCCUUCAGAUGUGUGUGUAUCGACUGAUUUUUUAGAAGAGAAAGAGUGAGGUCUAUCCGUCUUCUGCUCUCUUGUUGAAGAUGAGAAGGUGAGAGAUAGAAGAGGGGGUAACGGCGCUAGAUCUUAAGGGCGGGAUCUGAUUAUUUCUUUGAGGGUUAAAGGGAAUAGGGGUUACAAUGAGGGAGAAAAUUGGGUCGGUCCGGGUCAUGGGGAAUGGGC